AAGGCUUUAGUUCAAUUAAAGCACCUGUUUUGCAUUCAGGAGAUGUAAGUUAAAGUCUUGCAAGUCUUA
This 69-nucleotide transfer RNA is filed under the name Macrognathus pancalus (barred spiny eel). RNAcentral's name for it is "tRNA-Ala". It matches the Rfam family "tRNA". Rfam says of the family: Transfer RNA (tRNA) molecules are approximately 80 nucleotides in length. Their secondary structure includes four short double-helical elements and three loops (D, anti-codon, and T loops). The record is from RNAcentral. Lineage: Eukaryota; Metazoa; Chordata; Actinopteri; Synbranchiformes; Mastacembelidae.